Molecule: ribosomal RNA, 193 nt
Filed under: uncultured bacterium
Lineage: Bacteria
Description: partial 16S ribosomal RNA
Rfam family: Bacterial small subunit ribosomal RNA
Source: RNAcentral
CCUAGGGGAGGCAGCAGUGGGGAAUAUUGCACAAUGGGCGCAAGCCUGAUGCAGCCAUGCCGCGUGUGUGAAGAAGGCCUUCGGGUUGUAAAGCACUUUCAGCGGGGAGGAAGGCGUUGAGGUUAAUAACCUUGGCGAUUGACGUUACCCGCAGAAGAAGCACCGGCUAACUCCGUGCCAGCAGCCGCGUAAU